Molecule: long non-coding RNA, 161 nt
Organism: Entelurus aequoreus (snake pipefish)
Lineage: Eukaryota; Metazoa; Chordata; Actinopteri; Syngnathiformes; Syngnathidae
Exons: 3
Source: RefSeq, a predicted model, not a curated record
CUCUUUUAGUCAACUGUUCAGAGCCAUGAGAAAUGUUGGAGCAACGAGGGUGCCAAAUGACGAUGUGUUCGAAGAAGAAGACAUAAAACGACGCAGAGAGGCCAGCGAGGAGGACGGGAGGAGCCAAGAUGGAGGCAGAGAGACAUGGAGGGAGGAGCCAA